CCUACGGGAGGCAGCAGUGAGGAAUAUUGGUCAAUGGACGAGAGUCUGAACCAGCCAAGUAGCGUGAAGGAUGACUGCCCUAUGGGUUGUAAACUUCUUUUAUAUGGGAAUAAAAUGUUCCACGUGUGGGAUUUUGUAUGUACCAUAUGAAUAAGGAUCGGCUAACUCCGUGCCAGCAGCCGCGGUAAUACGGAGGAUCCGAGCGUUAUCCGGAUUUAUUGGGUUUAAAGGGAGCGUAGGUGGAUUGUUAAGUCAGUUGUGAAAGUUUGCGGCUCAACCGUAAAAUUGCAGUUGAAACUGGCAGUCGUGAGUACAGUAGAGGUGGGCGGAAUUCGUGGUGUAGUGGUGAAAUGCUUAGAUAUCACGAAGAACUCCGAUUGCGAAGGCAGCUCACUGGACUGCAACUGACACUGAGGCUCGAAAGUGUGGGUAUCAAACAGGAUUAGAUACCCUAGUAGUC
Molecule: ribosomal RNA, 460 nt
Filed under: uncultured bacterium
Lineage: Bacteria
Description: partial 16S ribosomal RNA
Rfam family: Bacterial small subunit ribosomal RNA
Source: RNAcentral